GAUGAACGCUGGCGGCGUGCCUAAUACAUGCAAGUCGAGCGAACGGACGAGAAGCUUGCUUCUCUGAUGUUAGCGGCGGACGGGUGAGUAACACGCGGAUAACCUACCUAUAAGACUGGGAUAACUUCGGGAAACCGUAGCUAAUACCGGAUAAUAUUUUGAACCGCAUGGUUCAAUAGUGAAAGACGGUCUUGCUGUCACUUAUAGAUGGAUCCGCGCUGCAUUAGCUAGUUGGUAAGGUAACGGCUUACCAAGGCAACGAUGCGUAGCCGACCUGAGAGGGUGAUCGGCCACACUGGAACUGAGACACGGUCCAGACUCCUACGGGAGGCAGCAGUAGGGAAUCUUCCGCAAUGGGCGAAAGCCUGACGGAGCAACGCCGCGUGAGUGAUGAAGGUCUUCGGAUCGUAAAACUCUGUUAUUAGGGAAGAACAUAUGUGUAAGUAACUGUGCACAUCUUGACGGUACCUAAUCAGAAAGCCACGGCUAACUACGUG
RNAcentral lists this ribosomal RNA (497 nucleotides) under uncultured bacterium. RNAcentral describes it as "partial 16S ribosomal RNA". It matches the Rfam family "Bacterial small subunit ribosomal RNA", at positions 28 to 507 of the family's 1533-position model. The record is from RNAcentral.